GCUGGCUAUGGUAGCGCAUGCCUGUAAUCCCAGCGGCUUGGGAGGCUGAGGCAGGAGGAUCACAAUUUAAAGCCAGUCUCAGCAAUUUAGUGAGGCCCUAAGCAACUUGACAAGACCCUGUCUCAA
Molecule: small RNA, 126 nt
Filed under: Marmota monax (woodchuck)
Lineage: Eukaryota; Metazoa; Chordata; Mammalia; Rodentia; Sciuridae
Source: RNAcentral